Salvia miltiorrhiza (redroot sage) is the source of this 540-nucleotide long non-coding RNA. RefSeq lists it as uncharacterized. The record is from RefSeq and is a predicted model, not a curated record. The transcript has 2 exons. NCBI's taxonomy places the organism in Eukaryota, Viridiplantae, Streptophyta, Magnoliopsida, Lamiales, Lamiaceae.
UCAAGUACAUAGGGAUGGCCUUCACCAUACCACCUCCAACAGUCAUGCCCUUCACUUCCCAUCACCCACGUCUUUAAGUCACAAUACAUAGACCAAACUUCAGCAAUAAUUCAACUGAGUUUCUACACUCUCCAUUCAAACUUCCCACACAAAUUUCUCAACCAGAGAUAGAGCUCCAGUCCAGUCCAGAAACAAACAACAUUUUCAUCAAGGUUUCAUUUCAAAUUCACUAUUGAAGCAGACUGCCAAAUCAAAACCACCAAGAUGUUCAUCAACUCAAGGUUGGCUGGCCGGUGCUGACGGGACUGAGCUGAGGCUAGGGUUCAAUUUCUAUAUAGACUUUCCGCUGUAGUAAUAACUCUUAUACAUCUUUUGUUUUCUCAACUUAAGAUGACUUCAUGUCGAGCUUCAAUUUGAAAUUUCUAGUUUUAUGCUAAUGAAUGUCGGUUGUCAGAAACAUGAGACAAAACUUGUGAUCCAAAUGGGCCUAGCCCGACUCGUUAUCUUAUUAUUCGGGUUUUAACAAGAUUUGUCCUUGUU